UCCUGACCUCACUCACUCAACUUGGCUGUGACGUGCCGUUUGAUCCGCCACAACCUCCUUGAGUGAGUGUAGUAAGGC
Molecule: microRNA precursor, 78 nt
Filed under: Strigamia maritima
Lineage: Eukaryota; Metazoa; Arthropoda; Chilopoda; Geophilomorpha; Linotaeniidae
Description: mir-67 microRNA precursor family
Rfam family: mir-67 microRNA precursor family
Source: Rfam by way of RNAcentral